GACGAACGCUGGCGGCGUGCCUAAUACAUGCAAGUCGAACGCUUCUCUCCUCCCGAGUGCUUGCACUCAAUUGGAAAGAGGAGUGGCGGACGGGUGAGUAACACGUGGGUAACCUACCCAUCAGAGGGGGAUAACACUUGGAAACAGGUGCUAAUACCGCAUAACAGUUUAUGCCGCAUGGCAUAAGAGUGAAAGGCGCUUUCGGGUGUCGCUGAUGGAUGGACCCGCGGUGCAUUAGCUAGUUGGUGAGGUAACGGCUCACCAAGGCCACGAUGCAUAGCCGACCUGAGAGGGUGAUCGGCCACACUGGGACUGAGACACGGCCCAGACUCCUACGGGAGGCAGCAGUAGGGAAUCUUCGGCAAUGGACGAAAGUCUGACCGAGCAACGCCGCGUGAGUGAAGAAGGUUUUCGGAUCGUAAAACUCUGUUGUUAGAGAAGAACAAGGACGUUAGUAACUGAACGUCCCCUGACGGUAUCUAACCAGAAAGACACGGCUAACUACGUG
RNAcentral lists this ribosomal RNA (508 nucleotides) under uncultured bacterium. RNAcentral describes it as "partial 16S ribosomal RNA". It matches the Rfam family "Bacterial small subunit ribosomal RNA", at positions 28 to 507 of the family's 1533-position model. The record is from RNAcentral.